UACACUAAAACUCAAAGAGGAAAGGAAGGAUGUAUCCUAUUGGAAACUGACGAUCUAAACUAAAAGAAAGGAGAGUAGCAGAGACUUCAAAAUGUUGAAAACUGUCUUAUCACAACAGAAGCUAAAAACUCUGAUGUCCAGAGUCAUAAAGACAAGAAACAGGAUCACAACAGCAAGGAAAAUAUAGAUUAAACAAUAACAGAAGAGAGAGAAAAUUUAUGUAAUUUGGGACAUUCCAGGACAAAGAACAGAAGAACAGACCGAGGAGAGGCAGCACUGCACAUGUGCAAGACAGGAACCCACGUCUCCAGGAUGACCCCAGAACCAAGGAUCUUCAGUCCACAGAACUCAAAGAAUAGAAGUGUUGACACUGGAGCCCUUUACGAAGCAAGAAGUCCUUCAAUAAGGAAAAUCUGGCCUCCUGCACCGCAAGGCUGUCUCCACUACUCCUCUGCUUAUGGGUGAAUGAAAAUGGCCACCCCAGCCCUGAUGGGACAACAUCCUUCAUUUCACACGUCAGCCAUCACGGAUUAAAUUGAGUUUAAGCAGCCUGGAACAGUUUGAUGCCUCCUCCUUCCAGCCAUGGAAAGUGCCAGGUGGCUUGCCUCUAGAAUCUGACAUCCUGUUGGUGAGGAUAACAAUCCACAACUGAGAU
Molecule: long non-coding RNA, 655 nt
Organism: Balaenoptera acutorostrata (minke whale)
Lineage: Eukaryota; Metazoa; Chordata; Mammalia; Artiodactyla; Balaenopteridae
Exons: 4
Source: RefSeq, a predicted model, not a curated record